GUAGUCUCGCACAGAUGCAUAUCAAUAAGCGGAGGAAAAGAAACUAACAAGGAUUCCCCUAGUAACGGCGAGUGAAGCGGGAAGAGCUCAAAUUUGAAAUCUUAAAGGGUUUUCCUUUACGAAUUGUAGUUUAAAGAAGUGUUUUCUGUUGAGGUUUUGGUAAAGUUCUUUGGAAUAGGACAUCAUAGAGGGUGAGAAUCCCGUAUUUGACCUUUACUUUCAACUUUGUGAUACACUUUCAAAGAGUCGGAUUGUUUGGGAAUGCAGUCCAAAAUGGGUGGUAAAUUUCAUCUAAAGCUAAAUAUUGGCGAGAGACCGAUGGCGAACAAGUACCGUGAGGGAAAGAUGAAAAGAACUUUGAAAAGAGAGUUAAACAGUACGUGAAAUUGUCAAAAGGGAAGCGUUUGACACCAGUGUUGUUUUUCUGAAAAUCAAUUAAAGAACUGUUUAUGCUAAGCUGUUUAGACUUUAUCAGCUAAUCUGUUUAGUUUUGAGCUUUUCCUUUAAUGCACUUUUCAGUUAACAAGUCAACAUCAAUUUCUUUUGUUGUAAAAAAGCUUGAGGAAGGUGGCUUGAGAUUCGUCUUAAGUGUUUAUAGCCUCUUGCCUAUGCAGUCGGAGAGAUUGAGGUCUGCAGCGUAGAUCCUUCGGGGCUAAAUGCAUUUGUGCUAAGUUAUAGCAUUUUAUAGACAACUUGUUGACUAUGAUUUGUCUUGUAGCUUACUCGCUUAUGUUAUUUUACCUACGCUUAGGAUGUUGACAGCAGUAUAGACUGUCGAUCUCAUCUAUACAUGACUCUGCGCAUAUCAAUAAGCGGAGGAAAAGGGCUGCCGGCAUCAUGCACCACGGACUACGAUACCUACGCUAGGAUGUUGACAGCAGUAUAGACUGU
Molecule: ribosomal RNA, 891 nt
Filed under: uncultured Neocallimastigales
Lineage: Eukaryota; Fungi; Neocallimastigomycota; Neocallimastigomycetes; Neocallimastigales
Description: partial large subunit ribosomal RNA
Rfam family: Eukaryotic large subunit ribosomal RNA
Source: RNAcentral